AGUGAACGCUGGCGGUAGGCCUAACACAUGCAAGUCGAACGGCAGCACAGUAAGAGCUUGCUCUUACGGGUGGCGAGUGGCGGACGGGUGAGGAAUACAUCGGAAUCUACUUUUUCGUGGGGGAUAACGUAGGGAAACUUACGCUAAUACCGCAUACGACCUACGGGUGAAAGCAGGGGAUCUUCGGACCUUGCGCGAUUGAAUGAGCCGAUGUCGGAUUAGCUAGUUGGCGGGGUAAAGGCCCACCAAGGCGACGAUCCGUAGCUGGUCUGAGAGGAUGAUCAGCCACACUGGAACUGAGACACGGCCCAGACUCUUACGGGAGGCGGCGGUGGGAAAUAUGGGACAAUGGGCGCAAGCCGGAACCACCCAUACCGCGGGGGUAAAGAGGGCUUUCGGUUUGAAAAGCCUUUUUGUGGGAAAAAAAAAGCAGAGGGUUAAUACCCCGUUUUUCUGAGGGUACCAAAAAAAAAGGCACGGGCUACGUUGGUG
This 492-nucleotide ribosomal RNA is filed under the name uncultured bacterium. Its description in RNAcentral is "partial 16S ribosomal RNA". It matches the Rfam family "Bacterial small subunit ribosomal RNA", at positions 29 to 507 of the family's 1533-position model. The record is from RNAcentral.